RNAcentral lists this ribosomal RNA (253 nucleotides) under uncultured bacterium. RNAcentral describes it as "partial 16S ribosomal RNA". It matches the Rfam family "Bacterial small subunit ribosomal RNA", at positions 524 to 776 of the family's 1533-position model. The record is from RNAcentral.
GACGAACCGUGCAAACGUUAUUCGGAAUCACUGGGCUUAAAGGGCGCGUAGGCGGGUGCUCAAGUCCGGGGUGAAAUCCUCCAGCUCAACUGGAGAACUGCCUCGGAUACUGGGUGUCUCGAGUGUGGUAGGGGUAUGCGGAACUAUCGGUGGAGCGGUGAAAUGCGUUGAUAUCGAUAGGAACUCCGGUGGCGAAGGCGGCAUACUGGACCACUACUGACGCUGAUGCGCGAAAGCCAGGGGAGCAAACGGG